This 724-nucleotide ribosomal RNA is filed under the name uncultured Methanomicrobiaceae archaeon. RNAcentral's name for it is "SSU rRNA". It matches the Rfam family "Archaeal small subunit ribosomal RNA", at positions 123 to 851 of the family's 1478-position model. Lineage: Archaea; Methanobacteriati; Methanobacteriota; Methanomicrobia; Methanomicrobiales; Methanomicrobiaceae. The record is from RNAcentral.
GGGAUAAUCCCGGGAAACUGGGGAUAAUACCCUAUAGAUUACAGAUGCUGGAAUGCUCUGUAGUCCAAAGUUCCGGCGCCUCAGGAUGGAUCUGCGGCCGAUUAGGUUGUUGUUGGGGUAAUGGCCCAACAAGCCAGUGAUCGGUACGGGUUGUGGGAGCAAGAGCCCGGAGUUGGAUUCUGAGACACGAAUCCAGGCCCUACGGGGCGCAGCAGGCGCGAAAACUUUACAAUGCGGGCAACCGUGAUAAGGGAACCUCGAGUGCCUGUAUAUGCAGGCUGUCCAGGUGUCUAAAACACACCUGAAGAAAGGGCCGGGCAAGACCGGUGCCAGCCGCCGCGGUAAUACCGGCGGCUCGAGUGGUGGCCACUUUUAUUGGGCUUAAAGCGUUCGUAGCUGGGUUGUUAAGUCUCUUGGGAAAUCUGGCAGCUUAACUGUCAGGCGUCUAAGGGAUACUGGCAAUCUUGGGACCGGGAGAGGUGAGGGGUACUUCGGGGGUAGGAGUGAAAUCCUGUAAUCCUCGAGGGACCACCUGUGGCGAAGGCGCCUCACCAGAACGGCUUCGACAGUGAGGGACGAAAGCUGGGGGAGCAAACCGGAUUAGAUACCCGGGUAGUCCCAGCCGUAAACGAUGUGCGUUAGGUGUAUCGACGACCACGAGUUGUCGAGGUGCCGAAGGGAAACCGUGAAACGUACCGCCUGGGAAGUCCGCUCCGCAAGGCUG